UAAUAAUAGUAAUAAUAAUAGUAAUAAUACCAUUAAUAUUAAUGGAAAAUUUCACUAAUAAAUAUAUGUGAAUAACUAAAGAUAUGCAUCAAAAUAUUGCGAUUAGAUAAAAAAAUAUUUUUGUUUGCUACAUCUCUUGGUUUAUAAAAAACUUUCUUCAUUGUGAGAGGAAGAGAAAGAAAGACAGAGAGAGAGAAAAAGGAUGAAUCUACGUGACUUUUAUCGAGUAAAAAUGAAAAUGUAUUUAAAUAAAUUGUAUUUUUAUUUAUUAUACCUUUCUUCCUUCAUAAUAUAUAGAAAUAUUCUAUAUACCUAGAAACGAAUCACGAUUCUUUUGUUUUAUUAAUAACGAGUCUUUCUCCUAAUGCUUGUUGCAAAAGAAAAAAAAACACACAAAAAUGUGUCGAAUGAUAAAACAUAAAAAUUUAUUCACGAAUAAAAUGAACGACCCAAUUUAAUUCGCGCGUUAAAUCUUUAUUAUAAUAUAUUAUUAUCUUCAUAUCCUAAGAGAUAAUAAUAUUAUAAAUAUUAUAUUUUUAUAAGAGUAUACUGGUCAAAGAAUAGUUCGAAAUUAAUAAUCAUUCUUGUUAGUCUGGGUGUAGUGAAGCCUGGAUCUCAUGACCCGUAAAGUCGAGCCGUCAAUUGUUCGAUUAAAUAAUUCUAUUAUGGUAGAUAUGCAGAGAGAUUAUUCAAGCUAGUAACCACUUGCACAUGGAUAUGAAAUUAAAUUAUAACUACUGUAUAUUGCAUAUACAAGUAUGGUGUUAUGUAUAACGACGACGAUGAUGAUGAUGAUGUCGUAUGAAUUUCUCUCUUUACGUGAAAGAAUACGUGUGUUUACUUUCUUCAAAUUAUUAGUUGAACGUAAACUUGUUCACCCAAGUAAUGUUGUAAUAGCGUAUAUACGUUCGUGAAAGUAUUCGAGACGGUGGCCCGACAGUAAGAACAAGGUCAAUUACAUUAAGCCAUCAUAAUAACGUAAAUUGGGCGGCAACUCGUAAGAUUAAUUGGGAAAAGAUAAGAAAGUUCAUGAUGAGAUUAACUUUAACGCCAUUUUACUCAAAUCCAUAAUUGAUCCUAUUCCUAUGAGCUGCUAAACGAAUAUGUGAUAAUAAAUAAUUAAUAAGUAAAUAUAUUAAAAUACAUAUAUACAUAUACAAUGUCUAUAUUUAUCACAUAAAUAAGCCUAGAAAAAUUAGGCUUAUUAGUUUAAAAGAAAUAUUAAAUAUUAAAAUACAUGAUGAAAUAUACGUCUUACUAUUCUC
Molecule: long non-coding RNA, 1265 nt
Filed under: Polistes fuscatus (common paper wasp)
Lineage: Eukaryota; Metazoa; Arthropoda; Insecta; Hymenoptera; Vespidae
Description: uncharacterized LOC122515863
Source: RNAcentral